UGGGGAAUAUUGCACAAUGGGCGCAAGCCUGAUGCAGCGACGCCGCGUGAGGGAUGACGGCCUUCGGGUUGUAAACCUCUUUCAGUACCGACGAAGCGCAAGUGACGGUAGGUACAGAAGAAGCACCGGCCAACUACGUGCCAGCAGCCGCGGUAAUACGUAGGGUGCGAGCGUUGUCCGGAAUUACUGGGCGUAAAGAGCUCGUAGGCGGUUUGUCGCGUCGUCUGUGAAAACCCGCAGCUCAACUGCG
This 250-nucleotide ribosomal RNA is filed under the name uncultured bacterium. RNAcentral describes it as "partial 16S ribosomal RNA". It matches the Rfam family "Bacterial small subunit ribosomal RNA", at positions 355 to 617 of the family's 1533-position model. The record is from RNAcentral.